Molecule: unclassified non-coding RNA, 241 nt
Filed under: fungal sp.
Lineage: Eukaryota; Fungi
Also listed under: 1 other name
Description: partial contains small subunit ribosomal RNA, internal transcribed spacer 1, and 5.8S ribosomal RNA
Rfam family: Eukaryotic small subunit ribosomal RNA (bases 1-46)
Source: RNAcentral
AAGUCGUAACAAGGUCUCCGUUGGUGAACCAGCGGAGGGAUCAUUACGAGAGUGUCACCACUCCCAACCCAUUGUUUACCUACCCGUCCACCGUGCUUCGGCAGGCAGUCCUGUGGGACAGGGCCUCGCCCCCCUCCCGGGGGGUGCCUGCCGCUGGCCAACCAACCAUUCUUGCUGUUUUUGUACCAUCUGAGUCUUCCACAAAUAAACAAAACUUUCAACAACGGAUCUCUUGGUUCUG